This 395-nucleotide ribosomal RNA is filed under the name uncultured bacterium. RNAcentral describes it as "bacterial SSU rRNA". It matches the Rfam family "Bacterial small subunit ribosomal RNA", at positions 28 to 428 of the family's 1533-position model. The record is from RNAcentral.
GACGAACGCUGGCGGCGUGCUUAACACAUGCAAGUCGAGCGGUAAGGCCCUUUCGGGGGUACACGAGCGGCGAACGGGUGAGUAACACGUGGGUGACCUGCCUCUAGCUCUGGGAUAAGCCCGGGAAACUGGGUCUAAUACUGGAUAUGACUCCAUGACGCAUGUUGUGGGGUGGAAAGCCUUGUGCGGCUAGAGAUGGGCCCGCGGCCUAUCAGCUUGUUGGUGGGGNGAUGGCCUACCAAGGCGACGACGGGUAGCCGGCCUGAGAGGGCGACCGGCCACACUGGGACUGAGACACGGCCCAGACUCCUACGGGAGGCAGCAGUGGGGAAUCUUGCGCAAUGGGCGAAAGCCUGACGCAGCGACGCCGCGUGAGGGAUGACGGCCUGGUGUAA